UCGGGAGUGGCCUAGAGGACGGGCAGCUGGUUACGAACCAGCCCGACGGGGGUUCGAAUCCCUCCUCCCGAG
Molecule: transfer RNA, 72 nt
Filed under: Deltaproteobacteria bacterium
Lineage: Bacteria; Pseudomonadati; Myxococcota; Myxococcia
Description: tRNA-Arg
Rfam family: tRNA
About the family: Transfer RNA (tRNA) molecules are approximately 80 nucleotides in length.
Source: RNAcentral